CCUACGGGUGGCUGCAGUGGGGAAUAUUGGGCAAUGGACGCAACUCUGACCCAGCAACGCCGCGUGAAUGAAGAAGGUUUUCGGAUUGUAAACUUCUGUGCUGGGGGAUGAACAAAAUGACGGUACCUCAAGAGUAAGCCACGGCUAACUACGUGCCAGCAGCCGCGGUAAUACGUAGGUGGCAAGCGUUAUCCGGAUUUAUUGGGUGUAAAGGGUGUGUAGGCGGUAAAGUAAGUCGGCUGUGAAACUCCGGGGCUCAACCCUGGGCCUACAGUUGAAACUGUUUGACUUGAGUGCUGGAGGGGCAAUCGGAAUGCCGUGUGUAGCGGUGGAAUGCGUAGAUAUAAGGAGGAACACCAGGGGCGAAGGCGGAUUGCUGGACAGUAACUGACGCUGAGGCGCGAAAGCGUGGGGAGCAAACAGGAUUAGAUACCCUAGUAGUC
Molecule: ribosomal RNA, 443 nt
Filed under: uncultured bacterium
Lineage: Bacteria
Description: partial 16S ribosomal RNA
Rfam family: Bacterial small subunit ribosomal RNA
Source: RNAcentral